UUUUACAAUGUAGAGUUUGAUCCUGGCUCAGGAUGAACGCUGGCUACAGGCUUAACACAUGCAAGUCGAGGGGCAGCAUGACAUGUUUUCGGACGUGUCGAUGGCGACCGGCGCACGGGUGAGUAACGCGUAUCCGACCUGCCCCGUACCAGGGCACAGCCCGUCGAAAGACGGAUUAAUGCCCUAUGUUCUCCGGAAGAUCCAUGUUUUCCGGAGCAAAGGUUAUUCCGGUACGGGAUGGGGAUGCGUCCGAUUAGCUUGCUGGCGGGGUAACGGCCCACCAGGGCACCGAUCGGUAGGGGUUCUGAGAGGAAGGUCCCCCACACUGGAACUGAGACACGGUCCAGACUCCUACGGGAGGCAGCAGUGAGGAAUAUUGGUCAAUGGGGGGAACCCUGAACCAGCCAAGUAGCGUGCAGGAUGACGGCCCUAUGGGUUGUAAACUGCUUUUGUGCGUGGAUAAAGUAGGCCACUUGUGGCCUUUUGCAGGUACCGCACGAAUAAGGACCGGCUAAUUCCGUGCCAGCAGCCGCGGUAAUACGGAAGGUCCGGGCGUUAUCCGGAUUUAUUGGGUUUAAAGGGAGCGUAGGCCGCCUGUCAAGCGUGCUGUGAAACGCCGUGGCUCAACCACGGUCCUGCAGCGCGAACUGGCGGGCUUGAGUGUGCGGAAGGCACGCGGAAUUCGUGGUGUAGCGGUGAAAUGCUUAGAUAUCACGAAGAACUCCGAUUGCGAAGGCAGCGUGCCGCAGCAUUACUGACGCUGAUGCUCGAAAGCGCGGGUAUCGAACAGGAUUAGAUACCCUGGUAGUCCGCGCGGUAAACGAUGGAUGCCCGCUGUCGGCGAUAUACAGUCGGCGGCCAAGCGAAAGCGUUAAGCAUCCCACCUGGGGAGUACGCCGGCAACGGUGAAACUCAAAGGAAUUGACGGGGGCCCGCACAAGCGGAGGAACAUGUGGUUUAAUUCGAUGAUACGCGAGGAACCUUACCCGGGCUUGAAUUGCAGAUGAAUGAUUCAGAGAUGAUGAAGUCCUUCGGGACAUCUGUGAAGGUGCUGCAUGGUUGUCGUCAGCUCGUGCCGUGAGGUGUCGGCUUAAGUGCCAUAACGAGCGCAACCCCUUCCCUCAGUUGCCAUCGGGUCAUGCCGGGCACUCUGUGGGUACUGCCUCCGCAAGGAGCGAGGAAGGCGGGGAUGACGUCAAAUCAGCACGGCCCUUACGUCCGGGGCUACACACGUGUUACAAUGGGGCAUACAGCGAGCAGGUGCCGUGCAAACGGUGUCGAAUCUUGAAAGUGCCCCUCAGUUCGGACUGGGGUCUGCAACCCGACCCCACGAAGCUGGAUUCGCUAGUAAUCGCGCAUCAGCCAUGGCGCGGUGAAUACGUUCCCGGGCCUUGUACACACCGCCCGUCAAGCCAUGAAAGCCGGGGGCGCCUGAAGUCCGUGACCGUGAGGGUCGGCCUAGGGUGAAACCGGUGAUUGGGGCUAAGUCGUAACAAGGUAGCCGUACCGGAAGGUGCGGCUGGAACACCUCCUUUCUG
Molecule: ribosomal RNA, 1538 nt
Filed under: Xylanibacter muris
Lineage: Bacteria; Pseudomonadati; Bacteroidota; Bacteroidia; Bacteroidales; Prevotellaceae
Description: bacterial SSU rRNA
Rfam family: Bacterial small subunit ribosomal RNA
Source: RNAcentral